UACAGAGGUCUCAAGCGUUGUUCGGAUUCAUUGGGCGUAAAGGGUGCGUAGGUGGCGCUGUAAGUCAGGUGUGAAAUUUCGGAGCUUAACUCCGAAACUGCAUUCGAUACUGCGGUGCUUGAGGACUGGAGAGGAGACUGGAAUUCAUGGUGUAGCAGUGAAAUGCGUAGAGAUCAUGAGGAAGACCAGUGGCGAAAGCGGCUUCCUGGUCCAGUACCGACGUUCAGGCACGAAAGCGUGGGGAGCAAACAGG
This 253-nucleotide ribosomal RNA is filed under the name uncultured prokaryote. RNAcentral's name for it is "partial 16S ribosomal RNA". It matches the Rfam family "Bacterial small subunit ribosomal RNA", at positions 524 to 776 of the family's 1533-position model. The record is from RNAcentral.